CCUGUUCCAGCGCCCCGAACUGCGGCACCGCGCCGCGCCGCCGCCCGCCGCCCCCUUCGGCCGCCCCGGCGUGGUCCCCCGGCGCCGGGCCGCCCCGCUCCGCGCCGUCGCCUUCCUCCAACCUGCACAGCUUCAGAGGCUCCAGGGUCCGCAGGGGGAACGGCAUCGCGGCCGGGGGCGGCGGGCCGGAGAGGAGAAGCUGGGCGUCCCCGACGCGAAAAGUCUUCGCCCGCCAAGCGGCCGCGGCGACAAAAGUUCAGAAAGAGGAGAGAGAGAGAGAAAGGAGAGGGAGAGAGAGAGGGAGGGAGCACAACAACAACAAAUGAAUCAGAGCGGGCGGGCGCCGCGCUACGCGCGCCGGGGCCGGGACUGGGGCUCGGGGGGAGCCGCCGCCGCCGCCCGCCGAGCGGAGGGGGGGCCCUGCGCGGCGCCCAUGUGCGGGAGCGGCACCGGAGGACGAGAGGGAGCGGAGCGGCCGCCGAUGCGGGGAGAGCCCGCUGCGCUGCCCUGCGGCCGGGAGACAGGAAAGAGCCCGGGUUUCUGUCCCCGGAGUGGAGAGGAGGAAGCGUGGGAGGGGGGCUGAGCGCUCUGGAUGAGGCCACAAAGGAGGGAAAGCGGUCAGGGAGAAAGGGAGGAGAGAAGGAGGAGGAGGAGGAGAGAGAAAAGCCCGGAGCAGCCCCACCUGGGGAACCCCGUGCCGCUGCAGGCACUUUUGUGAGCGCACCAAACUCCCAACCCGGAAAGCGAGAGCUGGAGCGAGAGGAGGAGAGAGGGGGGAAAGCCUCCGCGAACCUGGGAAGAGAAAAAGAGGCCGCCGCCUACCUGCGGCUCCCCGAACUGGAGCCUCUUCCAGAGCCUCACCCUUCCCGGCCAGCUCACGGCCGAGGUACUGGCCAGGCCCCGCCGCUGCCCCCGGCUCCAGGAACUCCCCGGGGCGGCCGCCGCCUGCCCCGCGCGGGGAGACGGGGAAAGAGCUACCGCCCCUCCGCUUCCCUGCCCGCCGCCGUUCGGGGAGAGAUGGGCUGGGAAGCGGGGCUGCCGGGCGAGCGGGGCUGUGGGUGGUGGUUACUUGUAAUGAGGCUGACCCCAAGGUGGGAAAAGUAA
This 1104-nucleotide long non-coding RNA is filed under the name Pavo cristatus (Indian peafowl). RNAcentral's name for it is "lncRNA (ENSPSTG00000018381.1)". Lineage: Eukaryota; Metazoa; Chordata; Aves; Galliformes; Phasianidae. The record is from RNAcentral.